This 877-nucleotide ribosomal RNA is filed under the name uncultured candidate division GN03 bacterium. Its description in RNAcentral is "bacterial SSU rRNA". It matches the Rfam family "Bacterial small subunit ribosomal RNA", at positions 465 to 1344 of the family's 1533-position model. The record is from RNAcentral.
GCGUCUGAAGGUACCUCCAAAGGAAGCUCCGGCUAACUCCGUGCCAGCAGCCGCGGUAAUACUGAGGGAGCAAACGUUGUUCGGAUUUACUGGGUGUAAAGGGUGCGUAGGCGGCUACGUGUGUCAGAGGUGAAAGCUCACGGCUCAACCGUGGAACUGCCUUUGAAACUGCGUAGCUUGAGUCCGAGAGAGGAUGGUGGAAUUCCUGGUGUAACGGUGAAAUGUGCAGAUAUCAGGAAGAACACCGGUGGCGAAGGCGGCCAUCUGGCUCGGUACUGACGCUGAGGCACGAAAGCUAGGGUAUCGAACGGGAUUAGAUACCCCGGUAGUCCUAGCCGUAAGCGAUGUCCACUAGGUGUCGGAGGUCCUACCCCUUCGGUGCCGGAGCUAACGCAUUAAGUGGACCACCUGGGGAGUACGCUCGCAAGAAUGAAACUCAAAGGAAUUGACGGGGGCCCGCACAAGCGGUGGAGCAUGUGGCUUAAUUCGAUGCAACGCGAAGAACCUUACCCGGGCUAAAUCACCGGCGACCGGUCCCGAAACGGACCAUCCCUUCGGGGCGCCGGCGAAGGUGCUGCAUGGCUGUCGUCAGCUCGUGCCGUGAGGUGUUGCCUUAAGUGGCGCAACGAGCGCAACCCCUGUGGUUAGUUACCAGCACGUAAUGGUGGGGACUCUAGCCAGACUGCCUACGCAAGUAGUGAGAAAGGUGGGGACGACGUCAAGUCAUCAUGGCCCUUAUGUCCGGGGCUGCACACGUGCUACAAUGGACGGUACAGCGGGAAGCCACCACGCAAGUGGGCGCAGAUCCCGAAAGCCGUUCCCAGUUCGGAUUGGAGUCUGCAACUCGACUCCAUGAAGGUGGAAUCGCUAGUAAUCG